Molecule: long non-coding RNA, 4451 nt
Organism: Solanum pennellii
Lineage: Eukaryota; Viridiplantae; Streptophyta; Magnoliopsida; Solanales; Solanaceae
Exons: 3
Source: RefSeq, a predicted model, not a curated record
AUCUUCCUGCGUUUAUAGACCUUAGUUACAACAGCAGGUCUAAAAUCAUCCCAUUCCUCUCAUUAACCACCUCCAUUCUCCUCACAGCCACCAAAAACGACCUUCAACCACCUGGAAAACACCAUGGCAGCCAGCAGCUCCAAAUGGCAAGCAACAAACCACCAGAUCUCCACUAAAAAAACAACAAAAUCGACUCCAAAAAACUCUUCUCAUAGAUCUGACUAGCGAGCUAAACUAGACCCCGAACAAUCUUUUCGAAAAAUAACUCCGACCACUGUCAGUCAUUAUUCCUUUCCCCUCUCCCCUUUUAAAAUUUUUCCUUUGUUUUGUAAGUACUUCAGUGAUCUAUGAGCUCUUAUUCCGGUGACCAACGAAUCCGGCGAACAAUUAGCUGACCCAAAACGACCGGAAAUAACUCCAGAACCACCAGACAACAAGACCCCGACUCCCUUCAUCCUCUUUGCCAGAAAACUUGAGCUCGAAGCUCCAAAUGCCCACACAUAGAGAAAUUAAACACGACUACUUCGUGAUUCCAAAUAGGCCCAGCAACGAUAAUACUCCGGUACAGUUAAGAAAUGACGCUAAUAUUUCAUAGUGAUGAUGUAGUAAGUGAAGCAACACACAUUGAACUGUUUCAAGUGAUAUCGAUUUUCAGUACAAACUUUGUAUGAAGGAUUUUAGGAUAAACGUGCAACGCACAUUCUGUGGAAACUAGUAUAUAUAUAUAUAUAUUACUGUUAUAGUUUUGGUCAUAUAUGGCUGCUAUUAUUUAUAAUGCAAAUCUAAUGUUCCAGCCACUUUCGUGUUAAGUGGUUCCAUUUAGUCAUUAUUAUUUGCAUUUGUUAAUCAUGUCUCUAUUUUAGUUAAUCAUUAGUUGUUGUUUAUUCGUUAUUGUAUCAUCUCCGUUUAUUUAAAUUCAAAUAUUACUAGUUGACUGAUUUUAUAUGUUCUUAAUUGUUUCUAAUUAAGUGUUUAGUUGGGUAAAUCUUCAUGUUAUUUUAAAAUUUGCCGAUAAUGAAAUUACCGUCGAUUUUGCAAUGCCUCGCAAUGGUAAAAGAUAGAAAUGUAUUUUAUGUUUAUAUUUUGUUUGUCAAACUGUCCGAUGAAGAAAUUACCGUCGAUUUCCAAGGUCUCCCAUGUUAAUAAGACGAGUUUUUAUUUUUAAGUGAUUAUUUGAUUUAUUCAUUAUUAAUACUUUUACUAAAUGUUUUUACAUGUACACGGAGGUGCUUCCCAUUGAAGCUAUUCUAAUGAAGUCCAAAUUAUACUUUUUAUUCAUUAUUUUUUAUAUAUUAACGUUAGGCAAACUUAGGUUAUUUCUUAUUAGAUUAUUUCAUUUUAUUACUUGUGUAUAUCACACGUUUAUUAUACUUGUAUAUUUGUUUUUAUCUCUUUCUCAAUUUGAAAAAUAAACUUAGUCGGGAACCACAAAUGUGGAUUUCAAAGGAUGCCUAACACAUUUUAUUCGGAAUAACUUGAACCCCUUACCUCGAAUCUGUUGGUUUUGUAGCCAUUUUUUUAAAGUUAAUUUGUUAAUUGUUUUUCUAGUUUUCCUAAAAAUUCGGUGGUGAUUUCCUUUUAUUCUUUCACUCCUUUUUAAAAUUAUUUUGAUUCUUGAUUUAAAUUGAUUAGUUAUAUUGCAAUUGAGUCACCAAGACGUGGCGCCCUCACAAGGAUGUCAACAAGUACUUCUUCCUCUAACAAUAAUUCUUGUUAUGUUUGUCAUUAGGCCAAACAAACUAAAAUGUUGUUAUCUUUAUCAAGUACAAAUACAAAUUCUCCUUUUGUUUAAGUUCAUUAGGAUGUUUAACAUGCUCCUAUUGCCUAAAAUUCUGGAUAUCGUUAUUGUAUUUUAUUUCUUAAUGAUUGCACUAAAUUCUCUUAGAUAUAUGUGAUUCAUGAAAAUUUUGAAUCAUUCAAAAAUUUCAAAAAGUUCCAGGUAGUGGUUGAAAAUAUUUUUCACACCUCUAUUUCCUAUUUUCAAUCUGAUCGGGACUGAGAAUAUGCUAAUCAAAAUUUUAAAUCCGUCUUCCAGCAAAAUGGCAUCCACCUUUCUCUUUUCCUCACAUGUAUGCUUAAAACGUAGGGCUGAGAGUAAACAUAGACACAUCUCUAAUGUUCUUCGUUUCCUUAUUUUUUAAGCGUCUAUAUCUUUUAAUUUUUGGGGGUGAUGCUUGUUUUCAUGUUUUCUUUCUUAUUAACAUAACUCAUCUUCCAGUGUUGUGUUAUUACUCUCCAUUUGACUGUAUGGUCAUAUCCCUGAUUACAAUCUAAUUCGUGUGUUUGGGUGUUUUUGUUAUCCCUUUGUGGCAUCUAAUAAGUGUUGUAAGGUCCACCCUCUAUCAAAACCAUGAUUGUUUCUUGGUUAAUUAGAUAAACAAAAAGGUAUUAAAUGUUUUUGAUCCUUGCUCAAAUGUAACUCUCAUCUCUCGACAUGUAUAUUUAGUUGAGACCUCCUUCCCAUUUGGGAAUCUAUUUGUUACUCUUACGCUAACUUCGUUCACCCAAACCUACCUCAUUCCCACCUAUUUUUUUAUCAUAAUUCCAUGUCUUUUACCUCUCCUUUAUAUAAUACUCAUUUUGGAGAAACUUCAAAAAGGAGUAGUAGUUCGGUUCUUACCUAAUCAAGAUCACAUUUAAAAAGAGGAUUAUUCAAACUCCAUUGAUUUCACAGUCCCAAACAAAAUAGAAGUCUCUACACUCCUUUAAAUAUGGAGAAUAUCGUUGUCAAUUCUCUUCCUUAAACUAGUAGUGUUACUCCCAUCCAACUACUCGUAAUGUCAACUUCGGACCCCUCUUCAUUACUCCUCUUGAAGGAGAUAUUUCAUCCCCUGUCCCUUCCCUCGCAAACCAUUUGUCCAUCUAAUAUUCUUCAAAUAACUUCCUAACAAUCACCCAUCGUAAAUCCUCGAACUCAUCAUAUGGGGACUCGUUAUAAAGAUAGGGUUGCUCAAGCCUCACGUCCUCCAUACUUAAAAGCAUCCAGAUGUUCCAUUUCAUCUGAACCCACAUCAUUCCAAGCUUGUAAAGACUUAUUGGAUGCAAGAAGUGAGUUUCGAAUUUGACUCUCUUGUCAAAAAUAAAACUUGGAUCUUGUUGUCGUCUCCUCCAAAUGAAAAUAUUGUUGGCAACAAAUGGGUGUUUCAGAUCAAGUUUUGGGCCAAUGUUUCUGUUGAAAGAUUUGAAUCUCGUUUAGUGGCCCAAGUGCUUUUUUAGCAGCCCCCGGUGGUUUAUUUUGAGACUUUUGAUCCUGCCAUUAAGCCUAGCACAAUGCGUUUGAUCUUAUAUUUGGCUCUAAAAAGAGUUGGCAUAUGCACCAACUUGAUGAGUCAAAUGCUUUCUUGCAUGUUGAGUUAUCCGAGACUGUUUAUAUGCUCUAACCGAAGAGAUUUGAACAUCCAGAUUAUCCCAAUUAUGUGCAUAAGUUGCAGCUUGCUCUAUAUGACCUUAAGCAAUCUCCAAGGGUUUGGUUUCAUGGUAUUUCUCAUUUCCUUCAUGAUCUAGGUUUUAAGCAAUAUGUUUCAAAUAAAAGCAUGCUCAUUUUUCACUCAAGGGUAAUGUUUCUCCACAAUUACUGCACAAUUUUGGAAAUCGAGAAAGGUUUGGGGUCAAAGGUGAGCUUAAGCACUACUUUUUAUCCUGAGACAGAUGCACAAGUAGAGCGUACUAUCUAGACCAUAGAAGAUAUGUUGAGAGCUUAGUGAUAAAAUUCAAAGGGAACUUAGAUGAUCACAUACCUCUCAUUGAGUUCGUUUACAACAAUUACCAUUCGAGCAUCCAAAUGGCUCCAUAUGAGACUCUUUAUGGGAGAAGAUCUAAAUCUCCCACUGGGUGGUUAGAAGUUUGGGAAUCAGGGUUAAUAUGACCAGAGUUAGUUUACCAUGCCAUGGGAAAAGUGAAAAAUGAUCCAAUAGAGGUUGAAGAUGGUGCAGAGUCGCAAAAAGUCCUACACAGAUGUUAGGAUAAGGCCGUUAGAGAUUGAGGUGGAUGAUUGGGUAUAUCUUAAGGUAUCACCCAUGAAUGGGAUUAUGAGGUUUGGUAAGCAGGGGAAACUUAGUCCCCUAUAUAUUGGACCUUAUAGAAUAUCCAAGAGAGUAGGAAAUGUAACUUAUGAGUUGGAGCUACCAACGGAAUUAGUAGCGGUUCAUUCGGUAUUUCAUGUAUACAUGUUGAAGAAGUGCAUGUGUGAUCCUUCACUGAUUGUACCUACUCAGUAUGUUGGUAUUAAAGAUAGCUUAUCCUUUAAAGAGAUUCCGGUAAAAAUUUUGGAUCGUUAUGUUCGCAAGUUGAGAACAAAGAAAGUUGCAUCACUCAAAGUCCUUAGGAGAAAUCAAUUUGUUGAAGAAGCAACUAGGGAAGCUGAGGUGGAUAUGAAGAAGAGAUGUCCACAUCUCUUUGAAUCCGGAGAAUGUAUAUCAAGGUACUAAAUUCUCUUCUUAUCACUUUAUAAG